Molecule: RNA transcript, 219 nt
Organism: Pan troglodytes (chimpanzee)
Lineage: Eukaryota; Metazoa; Chordata; Mammalia; Primates; Hominidae
Gene: MRPL21
Gene name: mitochondrial ribosomal protein L21
Exons: 4
Source: RefSeq, a predicted model, not a curated record
CUGAGACCUUCGGGGCCCGGAGCUGCCUCCCUUUGGUCUGCUUCUCGAAGGUUCAAUUCACAGAGCACCUCAUAUCUACCAGGGUAAUAUCAAAAUAUAUGUUCCUAAAACAUCCCUGAGUUCACCACCUUGGCCAGAAGUUGUUCUGCCAGACCCAGUUGAGGAGACCAGACACCAUGCAGAGAUCGUGAAGAAGGUGAAUGAGCUGAUCGCCACGGG